Molecule: ribosomal RNA, 325 nt
Filed under: uncultured eukaryote
Lineage: Eukaryota
Description: partial 18S ribosomal RNA
Rfam family: Eukaryotic small subunit ribosomal RNA
Source: RNAcentral
CCCUUAGAUGUUCUGGGCCGCACGCGCGCUACACUGAUGCAUUCAACGAGUCUAAAACCUGGUCUGAUAGGGCUGGGUAAUCUUUUGAAAGUGCAUCGUGAUUGGGAUAGAUGAUUGCAAUUCUUCAUCUUCAACGAGGAAUGCCUAGUAAACGCAAGUCAUCAGCUUGCAUUGAUUACGUCCCUGCCCUUUGUACACACCGCCCGUCGCUCCUACCGAUCGAAGAGUUAGGUGAAUUGUUUUGAUCGAUAAGAUUUGACUAUGGUCAACUCUCGUUGUGAAAUUCUGUGAAUCUGACUGUUUAGAGGAAGGAAAAGUCGUAACA